CAAGGUUCCAACCAGAAUACAGUGUUGUUUUGCUAUCACCUUGACCAUGGGAGUUUGUGAUUAAUUGAUUCUGAUGCACAUCAGGUCAGGAGACUGCAGAUCUAAUGAACGUCAGCUCCUUAAUCAACCCACACAUGGAUGGUGGUGUGUAUUUGAAGAUAUUUGAGCAGGAUGGCACUACUGAUAACCAGUUCUCCUGAAAUCACAAGUAAAGCCACCAAUCAAAAUACAUGUCAA
This 237-nucleotide long non-coding RNA is filed under the name Homo sapiens (human). Its description in RNAcentral is "non-protein coding lnc-SLC25A15-1:1". The record is from RNAcentral. Lineage: Eukaryota; Metazoa; Chordata; Mammalia; Primates; Hominidae.